RNAcentral lists this ribosomal RNA (249 nucleotides) under uncultured bacterium. RNAcentral describes it as "partial 16S ribosomal RNA". It matches the Rfam family "Bacterial small subunit ribosomal RNA", at positions 110 to 353 of the family's 1533-position model. The record is from RNAcentral.
GUAACGCGUGGGUAACCGUGCCUCACACUGGGGGAGUAACAAGUUAGAAAUAAGCUGCUAAUACCGCAUAAGCGCACAGCUCCGCAUGGAGCGGUGUGAAAAACUCCGGUGGUGUGAGAUGGACCCGCGUCUGAUUAGCCAGUUGGCGGGGUAACGGCCCACCAAAGCGACGAUCAGUAGCCGGCCUGAGAGGGUGAACGGCCACAUUGGGACUGAGACACGGCCCAAACUCCUACGGGAGGCAGCAUG